GGGCGCAUGGUGUAGUUGGUUAUCACAUCCGCUUAGCACUUGAGUGUAUUUGCGGGGGGUGCUGGGUUCAAUUCCCAGUGCGUCCA
This is a non-coding RNA of Postia placenta Mad-698-R, 86 nucleotides long. Lineage: Eukaryota; Fungi; Basidiomycota; Agaricomycetes; Polyporales; Adustoporiaceae. The record is from Rfam.